UUUCCGUAGGUGAACCUGCGGAAGGAUCAUUAUCGAGUUUUUGAAGUGGUUGGGGGAGUUUGAUGCUGGUGCCUCUGCGGUGCAUGUGCUCGACUCCUCGACUCCCCUCCACGCUCAAUCCACUCAACCCCUGUGCACUUUCGAAGUGGUCGUCGAUCCCCCCGUUUUAGGACGGGAGCAGCCGGCUUCUGGGAAGGUUAAUCUUUUUCGGAGGAUCGGUCGGGAUCGACGGCGCUUCGCAUACAUAUAUACAAACUCUAUCUAUGUCUUGUAGAACGCGUUAGCCUCUUCGUAGGCGAAACUAAAUACAACUUUCAACAACGGAUCUCUUGGCUCUC
This 338-nucleotide unclassified non-coding RNA is filed under the name plant metagenome. RNAcentral's name for it is "partial contains small subunit ribosomal RNA, internal transcribed spacer 1, and 5.8S ribosomal RNA". The record is from RNAcentral.